RNAcentral lists this ribosomal RNA (402 nucleotides) under Bacteroidota bacterium. RNAcentral describes it as "Bacteroidetes bacterium partial 16S ribosomal RNA". It matches the Rfam family "Bacterial small subunit ribosomal RNA", at positions 355 to 776 of the family's 1533-position model. The record is from RNAcentral. Lineage: Bacteria; Pseudomonadati; Bacteroidota.
UGGGGAAUUUUGCACAAUGGGGGAAACCCUGAUGCAGCGACGCCGCGUGAUUUAGAAGGCCUUCGGGUUGUAAAAAUCUUUUCUAUGGGAAGAAAAUGACAGUACCAUAGGAAUAAGGACCGGCUAAUUACGUGCCAGCAGCCGCGGUAAUACGUAAGGUCCGAGCGUUGUCCGGAAUCAUUGGGCGUAAAGGGUACGUAGGCGGGUAAGCAAGUUAGAAGUGAAAUCCUGUAGCUCAACUAGAGUAAGCUUUUAAAACUGCUCAUCUUGAGAUAUGGAAGGGAAAGUGGAAUUCCUAGUGUAGCGGUGAAAUGCGCAGAUAUUAGGAGGAAUACCGGUGGCGAAGGCGACUUUCUGGCCAUAAUCUGACGCUGAGGUACGAAAGCGUGGGUAGCAAACAGG